Molecule: ribosomal RNA, 1204 nt
Filed under: Hypoderma sp. (in: ascomycete fungi)
Lineage: Eukaryota; Fungi; Ascomycota; Leotiomycetes; Rhytismatales; Rhytismataceae
Description: Hypoderma sp. (in: Fungi) partial large subunit ribosomal RNA
Rfam family: Eukaryotic large subunit ribosomal RNA
Source: RNAcentral
CCAACAGGGAUUGCCUCAGUAACGGCGAGUGAAGCGGCAAUAGCUCAAAUUUGAAAGCUGGCUCCUUCGGGGCCCGCGUUGUAAUUUGUAGAGGAUGUUUCGGGCGCGGCGCCGGUCUAAGUUCUUUGGAACAAGACGUCAUAGAGGGUGAGAAUCCCGUAUGUGACUGGUGGCCUGUGCCCAUGUGAAACUCCUUCGACGAGUCGAGUUGUUUGGGAAUGCAGCUCAAAAUGGGAGGUGUAUUUCUUCUAAAGCUAAAUAUUGGCCAGAGACCGAUAGCGCACAAGUAGAGUGAUCGAAAGAUGAAAAGCACUUUGGAAAGAGAGUUAAACAGUACGUGAAAUUGUUGAAAGGGAAGCGCUUGCAAUCAGACUUGCGCGGCGUCGAUCAACCCGGGUUCUCCCUGGUGCACUCGGCGUCGCUCAGGCCAGCAUCAGUUUCGGCGGUGGGAUAAAGGCCUGGGGAACGUAAGUCGUCUCGGCGACCGUUAUAGCCUCAGGUGCAAUGCUGCCUGCCGGGACUGAGGACCGCGCUUCGGCUAGGAUGCUGGCGUAAUGGUUGUAAGCGACCCGUCUUGAAACACGGACCAAGGAGUCGUGCUAUUAUGCGAGUGUUUGGGUGUUAAACCCAUACGCGGAAUGAAAGUGAACGGAGGUGAGAACCCUUAAGGGUGCAUCAUCGACCGAUCCUGAUGUCUUCGGAUGGAUUUGAGUAAGAGCAUAAUGGCCCGGACCCGAAAGGCAAGUCUAACCCUAACCCUAACUUUUUUUUUGAAUCUUAAUACUAACUUUUUUUUAUAGAUGGUGAACUAUGCCUGAAUAGGGUGAAGCCAGGGGAAACCCUGGUGGAGGCUCGCAGAGGUUCUGACGUGCAAAUCGAUCUUCAAAUUUGGGUAUAGGGGCGAAAGACUAAUCGAACCAUUGGAACAAAAACCCUAGGUGGUUGAGAGGCCCUCCCCGGGGGGUCUAGUCGUUACGGCGGCGAUACUGUAAAAUUGCGGGGACAGCUCCAUAGGCGCAAAGCUACCACAGCGGACACGAAAGUGCCCGCCACGGUCACAAGGCUUGGCGACUGAGCCGAUUCGCAACCCUGUGCCUACCGUCUCACGACCACGGCCCGGGGCUCAUCGACUAGAUGGCAGUAGGCACGGUCACGUGUCUAAGGUAUAGUCAGACCGCGGCGGACCGACGCCGUGGGCUACCUG